This 1280-nucleotide long non-coding RNA is filed under the name Vulpes vulpes (red fox). Its description in RNAcentral is "lncRNA (ENSVVUG00000020477.1)". Lineage: Eukaryota; Metazoa; Chordata; Mammalia; Carnivora; Canidae. The record is from RNAcentral.
AUGCAAAUUUCUGCCACAGAGUCUAUUUCCAAAAUAACACGACUUAAGAGAGCCGGUAAUAGAAUUGAUCCUAGAAAGCAGAAUUUAAAAUGGGAUUUCAGAAAUGGAUCAUUCUCUGACCUCCUGGCAAGAAGGACUCUAAUUACAGUACUCAAGAUGUGUGGCAGAUGUUGGAAUCUCAACAUGAUGACGGUAAACUACUUGUUUGAGUUUCAUUCACCUCAAAUUCCUUUUAAUGCAUCUGAGAAGCACAAAGCAAAAGCUUCUGAUUCAGAAUUUGUCUGCAUUCAAGUUUGUAUUUCCUGAGACAGCACAUUAGCUGCUGAGAUUAUGAAUGAAACAGGGAACUUUUUCAAUAUUAUUUAUCUGUAUGGUUCCUUAACUUUAGUGUCGCCUGAUGAAUUUUGAAGUUGAAAAUGAAACCUGGUUGUCAUUCUACCAGUGUUCUGAUGAACUCUUUCAUUUCAAUUGCACAUGCAGCAAAUCAAAGAUUUUUAGUAUAUUAUGUCAAAGUCAAAAUGCCACUUCUUAAUAUAAUUUAUGAUAAAUAUACCUUUUGUUUAUAGGAAAAAACAAGGUUUAUUCAUUAUAGAAAAAAAAUGACUCGAUCUAGUGAUCUACAUUAAAAUGCUGGCCUGCUGAAGGAUAUUUGAAUUGCUCUGCCCUGAAUACACUAAAUAACUGAUCUGGGUAUGAUUUAAGCUGCAGCGGGGUAUGCACCCUACACCGUACUCCUCACAUGAGCAUCUCCUGCAAUGGGUCCCCAGGGCAGUCUCUCUCUCUCUCUCUCUCUCUCUCUUCAUCUUCCUCCUUUUUCUAUUUCUAUCAUUCUCUCUCUGGCUUUCUCUCUCUUUCAUUUACUUACAUACACUAGCAUUAGCUCUUUAUUUCCUGAACAUCAACUUUAAAUUUAUCUCCACAGCUUAAAAGCGAUAUACUUUGCAUCAAACCUUGUAAAUAGAACUGUUUAUAUCAGCACCCUAAGGGAAAAUACAGUGCCCUCACAUAACACAGAAAUUUAUAUGCAAAAGUUUACAUACACUAUAAUUUUCAGUAUUUAUGUCAGUCAAAUUUGGCUAAACUGAUUUUGUCCAGCACACUGACAUUUUUUGAUCUUUAAAAUAUGUUUCUCAAUGAGACGCCAAAAUAGACUACCCAAAGCACCACUUGAAUUAUCUAUUAACUCCAUAUUCACUUCUCAUAGAGCUUUUAUAAAUUCUUGACUAUAAAUAAUUCUGUUAGACUCACAAUAAUAAACGUCAUUUUGUUUGUAGUCUACA